Molecule: ribosomal RNA, 450 nt
Filed under: uncultured Glomeromycotina
Lineage: Eukaryota; Fungi; Glomeromycota
Description: SSU rRNA
Rfam family: Eukaryotic small subunit ribosomal RNA
Source: RNAcentral
AGCAGCCGCGGUAAUUCCAGCUCCAAUAGCGUAUAUUAAAGUUGUUGCAGUUAAAAAGCUCGUAGUUGAAUUUCGGGGUUAGUAGGUUGGUCAUGCCUCUGGUAUGUACUGGUCUCACUGAUUCCUCCUUCCUGAUGAACCGUAAUGCCAUUAAUUUGGUGCUGCGGGGAAUUUGGACUGUUACUUUGAAAAAAUUAGAGUGUUUAAAGCAAGCUAACGCUUGAAUACAUUAGCAUGGAAUAAUGAAAUAGGACGUUCGAUCCUAUUUUGUUGGUUUCUAGGAUUGACGUAAUGAUUAAUAGGGAUAGUUGGGGGCAUUAGUAUUCAAUUGUCAGAGGUGAAAUUCUUGGAUUUAUUGAAGACUAACUACUGCGAAAGCAUUUGCCAAGGAUGUUUUCAUUAAUCAAGAACGAAAGUUAGGGGAUCGAAGACGAUCAGAUACCGUCGUAG